GAUGGACGCUAGCUACAGGCUUAACACAUGCAAGUCGAGGGGUAACGAGAGGAAAGCUUGCUUUCCUUGUCGACGACCGGCGCACGGGUGAGUAACGCGUAUCCAACCUGCCCCCAACUAGGGAAUAACCUUGCGAAAGUAAGACUAAUACCCUAUAAUUUCCUCAGAUGUCAUCUGACGAGGAAUAAAGAUUUAUCGGUUGUGGAUGGGGAUGCGUCUGAUUAGCUUGUUGGCGGGGUAACGGCCCACCAAGGCAACGAUCAGUAGGGGUUCUGAGAGGAAGGUCCCCCACAUUGGAACUGAGACACGGUCCAAACCCCUACGGGAGGCAGCAGUGAGGAAUAUUGGUCAAUGGGCGGAAGCCUGAACCAGCCAAGUAGCGUGCAGGAUGACGGCCCUAUGGGUUGUAAACUGCUUUUAUACAGGAAUAAAGUUAGCCACGUGUGGUUAUUUGUAGGUACUGUAUGAAUAAGGACCGGCUAAUUCCGUGCCAGCCGCCGCGGUAA
This 506-nucleotide ribosomal RNA is filed under the name uncultured bacterium. RNAcentral's name for it is "partial 16S ribosomal RNA". It matches the Rfam family "Bacterial small subunit ribosomal RNA", at positions 28 to 523 of the family's 1533-position model. The record is from RNAcentral.